CCUACGGGGGGCUGCAGUGGGGGAUAUUGCACAAUGGGGGGAACCCUGAUGCAGCGACGCCGCGUGGGUGAAGAAGCGCCUCGGCGCGUAAAGCCCUGUCAGCAGGGAAGAAAAUGACGGUACCUGAAGAAGAAGCCCCGGCUAACUACGUGCCAGCAGCCGCGGUAAUAGGUAGGGGGGCAGCGUUAUCCGGAUUUACUGGGGGUAAAGGGGGCGCUGAUGGGAAUGCAAGCCAGGAGUGAAGGCCCGGGGCCCAACCCCGGGACUGCUCUUGGAACUGCGGGGCUGGAGUGCAGGAGGGGCAGGCGGAAUGCCUGGUGUAGCGGUGAAAUGCGUAGAUAUCAGGAGGAACACCGGUGGCGAAGGCGGCCUGCUGGACUGCAACUGACGUUGAGGCCCGAAAGCGUGGGGAGCAAACAGGAUUAGAUACCCUAGUAGUC
RNAcentral lists this ribosomal RNA (440 nucleotides) under uncultured bacterium. RNAcentral's name for it is "partial 16S ribosomal RNA". It matches the Rfam family "Bacterial small subunit ribosomal RNA", at positions 338 to 795 of the family's 1533-position model. The record is from RNAcentral.